AGCCAGGACGGGGUGUUUACAACUAAUUGAUUACAACCAGUCACAGAUUUCUUUGUUUCUUCUCCACUCCCACUGCUUCCCUUAACUAGCCUUUA
Molecule: small RNA, 95 nt
Filed under: Homo sapiens (human)
Lineage: Eukaryota; Metazoa; Chordata; Mammalia; Primates; Hominidae
Description: Y RNA (ENSG00000201633.1)
Rfam family: Y RNA
About the family: Y RNAs are components of the Ro ribonucleoprotein particle (Ro RNP), in association with Ro60 and La proteins. The Y RNAs and Ro60 and La proteins are well conserved, but the function of the Ro RNP is not known.
Source: RNAcentral